AGUGAACGCUGGCGGCAGGCCUAACACAUGCAAGUCGAGCGGAUGAAGGGAGCUUGCUCCUGGAUUCAGCGGCGGACGGGUGAGUAAUGCCUAGGAAUCUGCCUGGUAGUGGGUGAUAACGUCCGGAAACGGGCGCUAAUACCGCAUACGUCCUGAGGGAGAAAGUGGGGGAUCUUCGGACCUCACGCUAUCAGAUGAGCCUAGGUCGGAUUAGCGGGUUGGUGGGGUAAAGGCCUACCAAGGCGACGAUCCGUAACUGGUCUGAGAGGAUGAUCAGUCACACUGGAACUGAGACACGGUCCAGACUCCUAAGGGAGGCAGCAGUGGGGAAUAUUGGACAAUGGGCGAAAGCCUGAUCCAGCCAUGCCGCGUGUGUGAAGAAGGUCUUCGGAUUGUAAAGCACUUUAAGUUGGGAGGAAGGGCAGUAAGUUAAUACCUUGCUGUUUUGACGUUACCAACAGAAUAAGCACCGGCUAACUUCGUG
Molecule: ribosomal RNA, 484 nt
Filed under: uncultured bacterium
Lineage: Bacteria
Description: partial 16S ribosomal RNA
Rfam family: Bacterial small subunit ribosomal RNA
Source: RNAcentral